UGAGUGGCGGACGGGUGAGUAACGCGUGGGCAACCUGCCCUGUACAGGGGGACAACACUUAGAAAUAGGUGCUAAUACCGCAUAACGGGGGGAGCCGCAUGGCACCCCCUGAAAACUCCGGUGGUACAGGAUGGGCCCGCGUCUGAUUAGCUGGUUGGCAGGGUAACGGCCUACCAAGGCGACGAUCAGUAGCCGGCCUGAGAGGGCGGACGGCCACACUGGGACUGAGACACGGCCCAGACUCCUACGGGAGGCAGCAG
This 260-nucleotide ribosomal RNA is filed under the name uncultured bacterium. RNAcentral's name for it is "partial 16S ribosomal RNA". It matches the Rfam family "Bacterial small subunit ribosomal RNA", at positions 92 to 354 of the family's 1533-position model. The record is from RNAcentral.